RNAcentral lists this ribosomal RNA (408 nucleotides) under uncultured bacterium. RNAcentral describes it as "partial 16S ribosomal RNA". It matches the Rfam family "Bacterial small subunit ribosomal RNA", at positions 28 to 526 of the family's 1533-position model. The record is from RNAcentral.
GACGAACGCUGGCGGCGGGCUUAACACAUGCAAGUCGAACGAAGUGGCGAACGGGUGAGUAACGCGUAAUCAACCUGCCCUUCAGAGGGGGACAACAGGAGGAAACGAAUGCUAAUACCGCAUACUGAAGGAGGGGAUUGAGUCUGAUUAGCUAGUUGGAGGGGUAACGGCCAACCAAGGCGAUGAUCCGUAGCCGUUCUGGGGUGUUGGACGGCCACCUUGGGACAUGUACCCGGCCCAGCCUCAUACGGGGAGGCUCAGUGGGGAAUCUUCCGCAAUGGGCGGAAGUCUGACGGAGCAACGCCGCGUUAGUGAUGACGGCCUUCCGGUUGUCAAACUCUGUUUAUCGGGACGCGGUACCGGAAUAGAAAGCCACGGCUAACUACGUGCCAGCCGCCGCGGUAAUUC